GACGAACGCUGGCGGCGUGCCUAACACAUGCAAGUCGAACGGAACUUUUUUAAAAGAUUUCUUCGGAAUGAAUUUGAUUAAGUUUAGUGGCGGACGGGUGAGUAACGCGUGAGUAACCUGCCUCUAAGAGGGGAAUAACAUUCUGAAAAGAACGCUAAUACCGCAUAAUAUAUAUUUAUCGCAUGGUAGAUAUAUCAAAGAUUUAUCGCUUAGAGAUGGACUCGCGUCCGAUUAGUUAGUUGGUGAGGUAACGGCUCACCAAGACCGCGAUCGGUAGCCGGACUGAGAGGUUGAACGGCCACAUUGGGACUGAGACACGGCCCAGACUCCUACGGGAGGCAGCAGUGGGGGAUAUUGCGCAAUGGGGGAAACCCUGACGCAGCAACGCCGCGUGAAGGAUGAAGGUCUUCGGAUUGUAAACUUCUUUUAUUAAGGACGAAGAAAGUGACG
RNAcentral lists this ribosomal RNA (450 nucleotides) under uncultured bacterium. RNAcentral describes it as "bacterial SSU rRNA". It matches the Rfam family "Bacterial small subunit ribosomal RNA", at positions 28 to 474 of the family's 1533-position model. The record is from RNAcentral.